This 49-nucleotide transfer RNA is filed under the name Colobus guereza occidentalis. RNAcentral describes it as "partial tRNA-Leu". Lineage: Eukaryota; Metazoa; Chordata; Mammalia; Primates; Cercopithecidae. The record is from RNAcentral.
ACUUUUAAAGGAUAACAGUCAUCCAUUGGCCUUAGGAGCCAAAAAUAUU